GGCUGAAACUCGCCUACAUGAAGCUGGAGUUACUGUAAUCGCAGAUCAGAAUGCUGCGGUGAAUGCGUUCCCGGGUCUUGUACACACCGCCCGUCACACCACGGAAGUUGGGGGGCGCCCGAAGCCACUUAGCUAACCCUUUUGGGAAGCGAGUGUCGAAGGUGAAAUCAAUAACUGGGGUGAAGUCGUAACAAGGUAGC
RNAcentral lists this ribosomal RNA (200 nucleotides) under uncultured bacterium. Its description in RNAcentral is "partial 16S ribosomal RNA". It matches the Rfam family "Bacterial small subunit ribosomal RNA", at positions 1303 to 1500 of the family's 1533-position model. The record is from RNAcentral.